Non-coding RNA from Gekko japonicus, 68 nucleotides. The record is from the annotation of a RefSeq genome assembly. NCBI's taxonomy places the organism in Eukaryota, Metazoa, Chordata, Lepidosauria, Squamata, Gekkonidae.
CAAGACGUAGCUUAUCUCCUUAAAGCACCCAACUUACAAUUGAACGAUGUCUAUAAAGACCCUCUUGA